This 500-nucleotide ribosomal RNA is filed under the name uncultured bacterium. RNAcentral describes it as "partial 16S ribosomal RNA". It matches the Rfam family "Bacterial small subunit ribosomal RNA", at positions 30 to 523 of the family's 1533-position model. The record is from RNAcentral.
AUUGAACGCUGGCGGAAUGCUUUACACAUGCAAGUCGAACGGCAGCACGGACUUCGGUCUGGUGGCGAGUGGCGAACGGGUGAGUAAUGUAUCGGAACGUGCCCAGUCGUGGGGGAUAACGUAGUGAAAAUUACGCUAAUACCGCAUACGAUCUAUAGAUGAAAGCGGGGGAUCGCAAGACCUCGCGCGAUUGGAGUGGCCGAUAUCAGAUUAGGUAGUUGGUGGGGUAAAGGCCCACCAAGCCAACGAUCUGUAGCUGGUCUGAGAGGACGACCAGCCACACUGGAACUGAGACACGGUCCAGACUCCUACGGGAGGCAGCAGUGGGGAAUUUUGGACAAUGGGCGAAAGCCUGAUCCAGCCAUUCCGCGUGCAGGAUGAAGGCCCUCGGGUUGUAAACUGCUUUUGUACAGAACGAAAAGGUUUCUACUAAUACUAGGAGCUCAUGACGGUACUGUAAGAAUAAGCACCGGCUAACUACGUGCCAGCCGCCGCAGUAA